Molecule: long non-coding RNA, 2495 nt
Organism: Elgaria multicarinata webbii
Lineage: Eukaryota; Metazoa; Chordata; Lepidosauria; Squamata; Anguidae
Exons: 2
Source: RefSeq, a predicted model, not a curated record
CCGCUGCUCAGCCAGCGAGCUGGUGGAGAGAGAUGGGGUGACCAGAGGCACACGAAAGGUUAGGAUCCAUGCCUGCUGUGAUCCAUGCCGAAAAUGAAAGGUGCUAAGCUCCCAGCUCAUCUAAGAAGCCCUGCACCAUAGGCGCUCAGAUCUGCAGGGCUUGGCUGUGGCUGCUCUCUGUCUAUGCCCAAAGGCUUUCUGGGUCGUCAACGGAAAGGACCUCAGAGGGCAAAAUCUUCUCAGGAAGCACCCAUCCUUUCCACCCCGGGGUGGGCCUGAGAAGCACGGAUCCCAGGCAGGAAAGGAUGCUGGAACUUUGGUGGCUUCAGGUGUGCAGCUGGGCUAGGAAAAAUAUUUGCAGCUGGGUAGGGAAGCCAGGCCUGCUAGAGAAAGAUGCUUCAGGUGCACGGAUGGAUAUAUAUGGCACAAACCUCGCUGGGCCACUCCCAGGCAAAGGCCAAAGAUGGAAGAGACGGCUGAGAGUCCCUUUCCGACUGGAAGGAUCAGCGGGGUGAGGUGCCUAUUGGUUGUAACAGCAACUCCAUGUGGAAGUAUCAGGCCAUUCCAGUGGGGAGGCUGUUAUUUUUGAUGGGUACUCAAGAGGCAUCUGGUGCCACACGGAACUCUAAGAGACAAGGAGGGAGAGGUCUUGACUCAAGCGGUGUAGAACAGUGACCAUUGCACUCGACAGAGGGAGGACGUGCAGCUAGGUAAUUUUAUCCCCUGGACCUAAUGGUCUUACGCCCCCCAACCCCUUUAGAUGUCCAUGUGUAUCACUUCAAUUGUGAAAUGCACAAUUAACAAUUAUCUUUGAUUCCUGCAUUGAGCAGUAGGGUUGGACUGGAUGGCCUUAGAGGCCCCUUCCAACUCAACUAUUCUAUGAUUCUAUGAUUCAUUGAUCUUCUCCCCCAUGUGCUGCCAUUCCAAGUUUUAAAACUCCUGUGAAGAGCAAAAGACCAGCCAACCAAGAAACACAAAACUGUUUGCCAACCCUGAUUUUUAAAGCACACGCACACCUCUGAGCAUGUGCAGUUUUGCAUUUUAAACUCCUUUAAAUUGCAGCAUCACGACCGCGGGAAUAAAAUGUACUUUGCUUCUGCUGCCCCAAUGCUAAACACGUUGACUUGGGAAUAAGCUCCAAUCGGUUGUAGAAAAGGAUAAUAUAUUUUCAAAGUAAAAAUAAUACAAUGAGCAUAAAAUUCUGUACGUGCCCAGAUGGCUACCUGCUAACUAUAUUUUGAAGAAGAAGAAGAAGAAGAAGAAGAAGAAGAAGAAGAAGAAGAAGAAGAAGAAGAAGAAGAAGAAGAAGAAUUUUAUUUAUUUAUUUAAUUACAUGUUUAUACCGCCCAAUAGCCAAAGCUCUCUGGGCGGUUCAGAAAGGAUGCCAUGACCAGUGUCAGGACUGGCACGGGACUCUGUUCCUAGGCUGGCCCAGGUUCUGAGGUCCAGGGCGGUUUGCCUGUGCCCCAUCACCUCCUUCUCCCUAGGUGGUCAUUUGGGGAGGCAUCCAGGCCUUUGGCUCAGCCAGGAAGCCACAAUGGCGGUCGCAGCUGAAGGGCGUCGUCUGCUCUCUCGGACAGAAGCCAUUCGAGGGCACACGGCUAUGACCUAUGAAUUGACAGCCAGUUCUCCAGCUGCAUCCUGGCUGUCGGUUUUGUAGGGCACAAGUGUGUCCACCUCCGUGCCACACUACUACCACCACCACCGAGAAAGAGGCUCCAGCUCUGGGAAUCAAGGGGUUAAAGGGGAAGAAGAAGGGGGGGUUCCCAGUUAGCCACACCUCCUUCCCCUAAUUCCAUCCCUUUUCCCAGACCACUCAUGGUUUGGUUCCCCCCCCCCCCCCCAGGUUGAAAUGCCUCUCCUAAGGCAGUAAGAGCUUGAAGCUAGGGUAGCAUUUGGGGGUGUUUAGCUCCACCCCUUUUGCUGUUGGCUGGAAUGGGGUCUCCAGUUUUUCUCCAAAAAUCAAAUUUAGCCUUGGGCUGAAAGAGGUCCUGGAACCUGGGGUUAAAGCGUUGGGCAAUGAAUGGAGAGUUCAGGGUUCCAAUCCCCACUCAGCCAUGAAGCUCACUGAGUGACGUGGGGCCGGUCACCGUCUCUCAGCCUGACCUACCUUGGAGGGCUGUUGUGAAGAUAAAAUCAGGUGCAUGAGGAGGAGGGAGCCGGGUAUGCCUUGGAAAUACACGUGGCUGUCCAGUCUAGAGAGGAAAUAACAUCUUCCACACAUUCCCCCCCACCCCACCCCAAGUCAAGUGUAUCACUAGAGGAUGAGGAUGCACUGCAACACUUUGUUGCACCUCUGACGUGCCAGCUGUCCCAUCCAAAGUUUUAUUCUUUGGCUUUUUUAAAAAAAACCCGCUCUUGUGGUUUUAAACGUUUUCAACACUUUACUCGGACUUUAUUUGUGUGUGAUGGUCGUUUUCUGAAUUGUUUGUAAACCGCCGUGGCUGGUUCCAGCAAGGAGGUAUAAAAAUGCAAUAAACACAGAGAGAAAUAAA